UUUUUUUUUACAGAAGGGAAAACUGAGGCCUAAAGACACGGAGUGAGCCAGAAUUCGAAUGUGCAAGGACACCUGGAGGAGAGGGCGACCAGGCAAAGGCUUAGAGGAGUCUAAUUUAGCCACCAGGUGUCAGGGGACAAUGUACAAGCAGGGAUGGAUGAACUACAGCCUGGAGUUGGCGGUGUGUGUGCGUGCAUGUCUGUAUGUGUGUGUGGGGGCGCACACUGCAGGGGGCAUGCUGUGCUGUGGAGGAAAUUGUGUGUCAUCUAUUUAGCCAGAAGCUCUGUCUCUUGUUGCCCUCACCCUCCUCAUCCACACUGCACACAGUAGGCGCUCGGUUCAUGUCCCUGAUGAUUAUCAGAGUGUGGUGAUCUAAGUGCGCCAGGAUAAGAAGGCAGGGUGUCGGGGAGGGUGUUUCCGGCAGGGAAUGCAGUCUGGCACGGGUGCAGAAGUUUGUGAAGUUUAGAGAACAGAAGGUUCUGUGUGGUUGGAAUAUGAAUUUGGGGGGUCAGGAUUGAGAAUGGAUAACCAUGGGAGCAGAGUAUACAAUAGCAUGGCUGUUAGACCAUGAAGGCUUUCCUGGGCCCAGGGGGGUCUGUGUGAGAGAGACCCCCAGGCCCCUGCAGCAUGAUCAUAGAGGCGUGGAUGGACCCAGGUUGAGGGCUCCUGGGGUCAUCCCCAGGCUGGGUGGGAAGCUACAGUCACACGGGACAGAUCAGCCACCCCCAGCCUCACUUAGGUCUUGGCCCCUUCACACCUACACAGCCAGCCUGCCCCUGCUUAGGGCAAAAUAAGCAAGAUCUAGAAAGCUCCCGAGAUACAAAGGGUUUCAGAUGGGCAGGACAAUACCUUGAUUCUAUUUUACCUAGGAGAAGGCCUCUCCCAUGGCCUGAGGCUCUGGAGGAGCCAAGGGAGCAACCAGGCUGGGCCUCAUCCCUCAGGAACAACAUUCACUACUUGUAAAAUCUGCAUCCAAUUCAACUAACUCUCCGCAUCAACCUGUGAGGUUGGCUCACAGCAGUGAAGUGACUUGUCCAGAGUCGCACAGCAUGUGAGUAAUUUUGAGAACCCAGAUUCAUUCCCAAGACUGCCCAUACCCUCCACUCAGCCCUCCAUGCUCUGCGCUCCUUUGAUGGAACAAGAACAAAACUCAGUGGUUCCCAAAUUAGAUGACCACUAUUUUCCUGUUAUCCCUGGCUUCAAAGUCACAGGCUUUGGGGACCUUUGCUGAUUCUUUUUUGAGGCUCAAUGUUGGGGGCUAUUCCAUCAUCAGAAGCCAGCUCCCCCUCCAUGUUUAAUUCAUCUCAAAGUCAGUGUCCCGAGGCCAGUGGGAAGCCUCCUACUGUCACACUCCUAGUGAGAACUUGGCCUUUGCCUGGCAAUCACAGCCAGGGCCCCACUCUGCCAAGCCUGAUUCGAUUCUCCAGUUUGCCCCACCCCUUCUUUGAUUAGUGCUGGCUCCUGAUGGACUAUGACCAACUCAUGCAGAUACACGCUGUCCUUCUGCAGUCCUCAGGACUUGGGUUCUUGCUGGAGACUCUCCAAGCACCCUUCCUUCUCCGUGGUAGGUCUCUGUAUUAUCUCGGGGGAAGUCAUAACCAGGAAGCUCCUGCCUUGCACUUUGCUCAUUGACCCUCCUGGAAAAGGCCAACAGAGAACAGCUGGAAAUCUAGGGGAGAAGAGAUGUGCCCAGUCUGCAGGUGCCAGCUUGUCCCCAGAAGUAGAUGGCUGAUAAGCUGGAGGUAAAGCUGGGGCUGGGGCACAGAGGUAGCUUUUAAGGAGUUCAUCCCUAGACAAUGUGGGGUGGGCAUUCAGAGGCUCCUGAGACAACCAGGGUUGAGCAGGCUAGGUCUGGAGCCCACUGGGGCACAUCCCAAGCAGUUCAAGAAGGCAGGGAUAGAUGGGCUUGUUUUCAAUUCCUGGUACCCAAAAAUUGAAUCCAGAGGCCCUUAACCACUGAGCCACGUCCCCAGCCCUUUUAAAAAUAUUUUAUUUAGAGACAGGGUCUCGCUGAGUUGCUUAGCACCUUGCCGUUGCUGAGGCUGGCUUUGAACUUGUGAUCCUUCUGCCUCAGCCUCCUGAGCUGCUGGGAUUAUAGAGAAGCACUACUGCUCCCAGAGAGAUGGAUAUUCUUGUACCAGGAAUGAUUUGUAAGAUGUGGGACCGUCCAGCCUAGAGGACAGAAGACAAGGUGUAGGGAGAGUUAACAGGUCUUUGAUUGAAGAAGAGGCCAGGGAUGUGAUCAAGGAGACAAAGAGAGGACCAGAAGGCAGCAGGGCUGGGAGGUCACACUGGGACUGUUUUCAAAGAAAACCAUUCUCCUGCAAAAGAGGUGCCCUCCUCCCAGGAGGCCUGACAGUAGGGAGAGGUGGAGGAGGGGGAUGGGCAUCUUGCUCACAGCUCUGAGAACCCUGGACCCCAGAUCUGACUCCAGGUGCUGGACUGCACCCUCGCCUUUCACGGCCUCUCUCCCUGGCCCACAGUUUGUCUUAUAUAUGUUCAUAUCCACCACCCCUCCCCCCACACCUGGCAAAGUGCUCAAACAUCCCUACAAGAUCCAGUCCUUGCUUUCCGCCUUGGCUCAGCCCUCACCACUUUUGCCUCUGACCCAGCAAUAAGCUGGGCUCCACUGUUUUCACAUCCUCCUCCGGACUCUGUGUAUUCUAAACACACCAAGGAGCUUCUCUUAGGCAUAUUGUCCCUGCUCCUCCUCCCCGCUUUAUUGGUUCCAUCUUGUUUAUCUUUCAAGUCUCAGCCUAAGACUGAGCCUCUUUUGUGAACUCUCACUACAGCCUGAAUUAGGGCCACUGCUUAGUGCUCUAGAUGAUCCCCGUCACACCUGUCCCUGCCCGUAACACACUGCAUUGCAUUCUCCUGAUCACCUGCCUGGAUCCCCCUCUAGACCAUAAGCUCCAUCAGGGCAGCGACUGUCUGUCUGGCCCUGAGGUGGAGCUGGUACCCAGCAAAUAUAUGUUGAAAGAAUGAAUGGGCGAAUGGAGGGGUAGAUGGGUGGAUGGAAUGCCCAUAAGAGAAUUGAUAAAGAUCACACCAGAGAGCCUGCCCCACCGACUAGCAUGGUCUGGUCCCUGCAGUUCCAGUUAAGAUAUACGUGGGGGCUGGGGAUGUGGCUCAAGCGGUAGCGUGCUUGCCUGGCAUGCAUGCGGCCCGGGUUCGAUCCUCAGCACCACAUACAAAAAAACAAAGAUGUUGUGUCCGCCGAUAACUAAAAAAUAAAAUACUAAAAAUUCUCUCAAAAAAAAAAAAUUCUCUCUCUCCCUCUCUCACUCUCUCUUUAAAAAAAAAAAAGAUAUACGUGGGCUGUUGCUCAGAUAACAAGGUGAAGAAGUGAAUGGGUUUUUACCACCAUCAAGAUGACAAUGAGAAGCCUCUUCUCCUAAGUCUCUAUGCUCAGCUCUUUUUAAAAAUUGAAGUAAAGAUGGACACAGUGGAGCAUACCUGUGACUCCGGAGGCUGAAGCAGGAAGAUUGAAAGUUUGAGGCCAGCCUCAGCAACUUAGUAAAACUCUCAGCAACAUAACAAAUAAAAAAAAAUAAGAUAAAAAGGGUUGCUGGGCUGGGGAUGUGGCUCAAGCGGUAGCACGCUCGCCUGGCAUGCAUGCGGCCCGGGUUCGAUCCUCAGCACCACAUACAAACAAAGAUGUUGUGUCCGCCGAAAACU
This 3678-nucleotide long non-coding RNA is filed under the name Marmota monax (woodchuck). Lineage: Eukaryota; Metazoa; Chordata; Mammalia; Rodentia; Sciuridae. The record is from RNAcentral.